This 82-nucleotide transfer RNA is filed under the name Podarcis lilfordi (Lilford's wall lizard). RNAcentral's name for it is "tRNA.Val". The stretch from base 8 to 66 matches the Rfam family "tRNA", at positions 8 to 63 of the family's 71-position model. Rfam says of the family: Transfer RNA (tRNA) molecules are approximately 80 nucleotides in length. Their secondary structure includes four short double-helical elements and three loops (D, anti-codon, and T loops). Lineage: Eukaryota; Metazoa; Chordata; Lepidosauria; Squamata; Lacertidae. The record is from RNAcentral.
GGCUGGAUAGCUCUGUUGGUUUGAGCGUGGUGCUGACAACGCCAAGGUUACAGGUUUGAUCCCCGUAAGGGAGAGAGAGCUG